GAUGAACGCUAGCGGGAGGCCUAACACAUGCAAGCCGAGCGGGAUUUGUUGGUUAGCUUGCUAACUAACAAUGAGAGCGGCGUACGGGUGCGUAGCACGUGUGCAACCUGCCUUUAUCUGGGGGAUAGCCUUUCGAAAGGAAGAUUAAUACCCCAUAACAUAUUGAUUGGCAUCAGUUAAUAUUGAAAGCUCCGGCGGAUAGAGAUGGGCACGCGUAAGAUUAGCUAGUUGGUGAGGUAACGGCUCACCAAGGCUGCGAUCUUUAGGGGGCCUGAGAGGGUGAUCCCCCACACUGGUACUGAGACACGGACCAGACUCCUACGGGAGGCAGCAGUGAGGAAUAUUGGACAAUGGGUGAGAGCCUGAUCCAGCCAUCCCGCGUGAAGGACUAAGGACCUAUGGUUUGUAAACUUCUUUUAUACAGGGAUAAACCUACUCCCGUGAGGGUAGCUGAAGGUACUGUAUGAAUAAGCACCGGCUAACUCCGUG
RNAcentral lists this ribosomal RNA (489 nucleotides) under uncultured bacterium. RNAcentral's name for it is "partial 16S ribosomal RNA". It matches the Rfam family "Bacterial small subunit ribosomal RNA", at positions 28 to 507 of the family's 1533-position model. The record is from RNAcentral.